UCCUUAAAAAUCUCUCUCUCUCUCUCUCUCUCUCCGCUCUCAGUUAUCCAUUUUGGAUUCGCCGACAGCCGCCAUACCCGUGCAAUUGAAAGCUCCCUUUCUCUUAAUCUCUGCAAUUCUUGCAAUUUCUUCAAUUCACUUCUUCCUCUUAUCACAGCUCCACCACCCAAUCUUCUACAUUCAAUAUCCCACAUAUGAACCACUCUCCUUCCAUCAAAAUGACCAAGGACAAUUACAUGGCCUGGCAGUUUCAACUCCUUGCAUAUCUUCGAGGACAAGAUGUGUAUGGAUUCAUUGAUGGCACGGUUCUUUCUCUUGUUCAACUGAUAGUGAAUCUUGUCACUACCCCUGGAGCUCCCGUGAUGAUUGCCAACCCGGAAUAUCUCUCUUUGUAUCAACGAGAUCAGCUCAUCAUCAGCGUGCUGGUCUCCACCCUGUCUGACUCCUAUGUCUCCCAUGUCGUGGGCUGCACCACAUCUCAUGCACUAUAGGAAUCGCUGGAGAAAAUGUUUGCUUUCCAAGCUCAUGCCCGGAUUAUGCAAGUUCACUUGCAACUUGCUACCUUAAAGAAAGGUAAUUCCUCCAUAAUUGAUUCUUAUUGUACCUAGUUCUUUCUAAUUAGUCUAUAGACAUCAAGUUAUUGUUAAUAAAAGUUUUGUGCACAUUUGUUAUAUUA
This is a long non-coding RNA of Alnus glutinosa, 676 nucleotides long. RefSeq lists it as uncharacterized. NCBI's taxonomy places the organism in Eukaryota, Viridiplantae, Streptophyta, Magnoliopsida, Fagales, Betulaceae. The record is from RefSeq and is a predicted model, not a curated record. The transcript has 2 exons.